CAGUAGCGUAUAUUAAAGUUGUUGCAGUUAAAAAAGCUCGUAGUUGGAUUUCUGGUUGACCGGCAGGGCCCGCCUCCAUCUCGGAGGUUGUGUGCUAUGCGUGCGUUUACCAUCCUUCCAGACAGCUGUGCCUACCCUUGAUUGGGCAGGGCGCGUGCCAUCUGGAUCAUUUACUUUGAAAAAUUAGAGUGUUCAAAGCAGGCUUACGCUGUGAAUACAUUAGCAUGGAAUAAUAAUAUAGGACUUUGGUUCUAUUUUGUUGGUUUCUAGGACUAAAGUAAUGAUUGAUAGGGAUCGUUGGGGGUGCUCUUAUUGCUCGGCCAGAGGUGAAAUUCUUGGAUUCGAGCAAGAAGAACUACUGCGAAAGCAUUCACCAAGGAGGUCUUCUUUAAUCAAGAACGAAAGUUGGGGGAUCGAAGACGAUCAGAUACCAU
This 434-nucleotide ribosomal RNA is filed under the name uncultured eukaryote. RNAcentral describes it as "SSU rRNA". It matches the Rfam family "Eukaryotic small subunit ribosomal RNA", at positions 592 to 1018 of the family's 1831-position model. The record is from RNAcentral.